Pyrus x bretschneideri (Chinese white pear) is the source of this 1181-nucleotide long non-coding RNA. RefSeq lists it as uncharacterized. The transcript has 2 exons. The record is from RefSeq and is a predicted model, not a curated record. NCBI's taxonomy places the organism in Eukaryota, Viridiplantae, Streptophyta, Magnoliopsida, Rosales, Rosaceae.
GUCUAUAGCUGUAAGGAGGACAAAGAAACUCAAAAAAUAAAAACUCAAUAACUUAAUGCUAGAGUAUACAGAGGAAGUGAGACUUAAAUGACACAGGUAAGUUAUUAACGUGACCUCUUAUAUCAAUGAUAAUAUAUUAUGUGUAAAUUUUUAUCUUUACAUGUCAUUGUAUUAUUAGCAUGAAAUGUCAUAGUGACGCUUUACUUGUGCGAUGCCAUUUAAGUUGCUAUAGAGGAUGAGGGAUAGAGAGAGGGAUAGAGAGAGGGAUAGCUAGAGGUGCAUAAAAGCUAUCAUUUAUAUAGAGAUGAGGGAAGCUAGCUAGUUAGAUAGAAUAAUCUAGAGAGAGAGAGAGAGAGCUAGGAGGAUUGUCACGAGGCUCCUCCCUCUUUCUCUUACCUAAAAUAUGCACGCCUCUCUAUAUGUAGGCUAAGCUGAGAGUGAAAUUCUGAAAAGCUUCAGCUGUUUCCUUAAAAAGUUCAACGAAGGCCAAACCUUUAUGCAGCUUCUUGGUUCAUCUUUCUUCCCUUGUCUGGUUUGUUGGUUUGAGAGCUUGAAGCUGCCAGCAUGAUCUGGUAUACAUAACUAUAGCUAUCACAUAUAUGUAUAUAUAUAUCAAUGGUGUUCCGCAUGUAUAUACCUUAGAUCUUGCACCACCAUUUUUUAUUAUAUACAGAUCUUGAUUAUUUCAUGCUUUUGGAUAAAAGGGUUUUUAAUUUUUAGUCAAUUAACCAAGAGAGUAAUUGGCAUCCUGCUAAUUACAAUUUUUUCUUUUUCUUUUUCAAUAAAAAAAAUUAUACAGAUUGAUCAGAAGCCUGUUUUUAAAAUCUUGUAUUCAUAUUUUCAAUUAGUUAGAUAUAACACACAAACACACACAUAUAUAUAGGAUAUUCAACCAGGUCAUCUGGCAGCUUCAAUCACUCAUUCAUCAACAAUAGAAAAUGUUUCUGAGCUAAGAACACAAGGUCUCUUGUGGUGAAGGAUUACUCUCAUCCCAAGGACAGCUUUGUUUGAGUUUGGUGCAGGGUAACAUCCCUCGGCAUAUAAAAAUCAAAGAUUGUGGUCUGCUACAGAAACUCAGUGGCUCAUUUGAUGAUAUGAUCAUUGAAUUAAAUUUAGUGUUUCUUUGCAGAACCAUAUUUAUCAAAUUUUUCACUACAAAUGAAUGUUUUGGUGAUUUUGGA